Molecule: ribosomal RNA, 292 nt
Filed under: uncultured bacterium
Lineage: Bacteria
Description: partial 16S ribosomal RNA
Rfam family: Bacterial small subunit ribosomal RNA
Source: RNAcentral
GUGCCAGCAGCCGCGGUAAUACGUAGGGUGCAAGCGUUAAUCGGAAUUACUGGGCGUAAAGCGUGCGCAGACGGUAAUGUAAGACAGAUGUGAAAUCCCCAAACUCAACCUGGGAACUGCAUUUGUGACUGCAUUGCUGGAGUGCGGCAGGGGGGGAUGGAAUUCCGCGUGUAGCAAUGAAAUGCGUAGAUAUGCGGAGGAACACCGAUAGCGAAGGCAAUCCCCUGGGCCUGCACUGACGCUCAUGCACGAAAGCGUGGGGAGCAAACAGGAUUAGAUACCCUAGUAGUCC